UACGUAGGGUGCAAGCGUUAAUCGGAAUUACUGGGCGUAAAGCGUGCGCAGGCGGUUAUGCAAGACAGAUGUGAAAUCCCCGGGCUUAACCUGGGAACUGCAUUUGUGACUGCAUGGCUAGAGUGCGGCAGAGGGGGAUGGAAUUCCGCGUGUAGCAGUGAAAUGCGUAGAUAUGCGGAGGAACACCAAUUGCGAAGGCAGCUCGCUGGGACGUUACUGACGCUGAGACGCGAAAGCGUGGGGAGCAAACAGG
RNAcentral lists this ribosomal RNA (253 nucleotides) under uncultured bacterium. Its description in RNAcentral is "partial 16S ribosomal RNA". It matches the Rfam family "Bacterial small subunit ribosomal RNA", at positions 524 to 776 of the family's 1533-position model. The record is from RNAcentral.